GUGGGGAAUUUUGGACAAUGGGCGCAAGCCUGAUCCAGCAAUGCCGCGUGCAGGAAGAAGGCCUUCGGGUUGUAAACUGCUUUUGUACGGAACGAAACGGCUCUGGUUAAUACCCGGGGCUAAUGACGGUACCGUAAGAAUAAGCACCGGCUAACUACGUGCCAGCAGCCGCGGUAAUACGUAGGGUGCAAGCGUUAAUCGGAAUUACUGGGCGUAAAGCGUGCGCAGGCGGUUUUGUAAGACAGGCGUGAAAUCCCCGGGCUCAACCUGGGAAUGGCGCUUGUGACUGCAAAGCUGGAGUGCGGCAGAGGGGGAUGGAAUUCCGCGUGUAGCAGUGAAAUGCGUAGAUAUGCGGAGGAACACCGAUGGCGAAGGCAAUCCCCUGGGCCUGCACUGACGCUCAUGCACGAAAGCGUGGGGAGCAAACAGGAUUAGAAACCCUUGUAGUCC
Molecule: ribosomal RNA, 450 nt
Filed under: uncultured bacterium
Lineage: Bacteria
Description: partial 16S ribosomal RNA
Rfam family: Bacterial small subunit ribosomal RNA
Source: RNAcentral